UACGUAGGGGGCGAGCGUUGUCCGGAUUUAUUGGGCGUAAAGAGCGUGUAGGCGGCCAGGUAGGUCGGUUGUGAAAACUGGAGGCUUAACCUUCAGACGUCGACCGAAACCAUCUGGCUAGAGUCCGGAAGAGGAGAGUGGAAUUCCUGGUGUAGCGGUGGAAUGCGCAGAUAUCAGGAGGAACACCGGUGGCGAAGGCGGGUCUCUGGGCAGUAACUGACGCUGAGGAGCGAAAGCGUGGGGAGCGAACAGG
RNAcentral lists this ribosomal RNA (253 nucleotides) under uncultured bacterium. RNAcentral describes it as "partial 16S ribosomal RNA". It matches the Rfam family "Bacterial small subunit ribosomal RNA", at positions 524 to 776 of the family's 1533-position model. The record is from RNAcentral.